GGGGGACAACAGUUGGAAACGACUGCUAAUACCGCAUGAUGUAUCUGGAAGGCAUCUUCCGGAUACCAAAGAUUUAUCGCUGUGGGAUGGGCUCAUGUCUGAUUAGUUAGUUGGUGGGGUAACGGCCUACCAAGACUGCGACCAGUAGCCGGACUGAGAGGUUGAACGGCCACAUUGGGACUGAGAUACGGCCCAGACUCCUACGGGAGGCAGCAGUGGGGAAUAUUGGGCAAUGGGCGAAAGCCUGACCCAGCAACGCCGCGUGAAGGAAGAAGGUCUUCGGAUUGUAAACUUCUUUUA
RNAcentral lists this ribosomal RNA (300 nucleotides) under uncultured bacterium. Its description in RNAcentral is "bacterial SSU rRNA". It matches the Rfam family "Bacterial small subunit ribosomal RNA", at positions 138 to 438 of the family's 1533-position model. The record is from RNAcentral.